RNAcentral lists this ribosomal RNA (402 nucleotides) under uncultured prokaryote. RNAcentral describes it as "bacterial SSU rRNA". It matches the Rfam family "Bacterial small subunit ribosomal RNA", at positions 355 to 774 of the family's 1533-position model. The record is from RNAcentral.
UGGGGAAUCUUGGACAAUGGGCGCAAGCCUGAUCCAGCGACGCCGCGUGGGUGAUGAAGGCCUUCGGGUUGUAAAGCCCUUUUGCCGGGGACGAUGAUGACGGUACCCGGAGAAUAAGGACCGGCUAACUCCGUGCCAGCAGCCGCGGUAAGACGGAGGGUCCUAGCGUUGUUCGGAAUUACUGGGCGUAAAGGGCGCGUAGGCGGCCUGUUAAGUCGGGUGUGAAAGCCCGGGGCUCAACCCCGGAACGGCACCCGAGACUGGCAGGCUCGAGACCGGGAGAGGAGGGUGGAAUACCCAGUGUAGAGGUGAAAUUCGUAGAUAUUGGGUGGAACACCGGUGGCGAAAGCGGCUCUCUGGCCCGGAUCUGACGCUGAGGCGCGAAAGCGUGGGGAGCAAACA